This is a long non-coding RNA of Cuculus canorus (common cuckoo), 2624 nucleotides long. RefSeq lists it as uncharacterized. The transcript has 4 exons. Lineage: Eukaryota; Metazoa; Chordata; Aves; Cuculiformes; Cuculidae. The record is from RefSeq and is a predicted model, not a curated record.
UCUGCUCCGCGCAUCCGCUCGGCGCGCUGCGGCCCUUCCGGUUCCGGUCGCGCGGGGCCUUUUGGCGGGGCCGGGCGUGUGGGGGCUGCGGGGGUUUCCUGCUGGAGCUCAACCACAGAGGAACCCCAAGCGGAGAUGAUGGGGGUUUGUGCUUGCCCUCAGCACUUCCAUCUGUGAGAAUGAUGUGCUUGACACCCAGCAGGAGCUCUGACAGCUCUUCCCAGUUCACAGCAUGCAGCAGAGCUGGCUUUCCAAGAGGAUUCAAGGAUGGUCCCAAUGCUGCCAGGCUGGCGCAGAGAGCAGACAGUCCUGCAAACAGGCAGAGGUGGACUUGGAUUCAGGAAUGCAUGCUCCCAGGGAAGGAAAUUUACUCAUCCCUGCCUCUGCUAAGCCUCUUCGUGGAGACUGAUAUUUUUCUAAGGAUUGAAAGGUGUUUAUUAACGAACUGAUCAGAUCCAGGCCAUCGUUUAACUCACUUUGAGAGAUGACCAGUUACAGGCCCUUCCCUGGGAGGGAGGUACCAGGCAGCUCUCGGGCAAUGGCACACGGGCACAAGAGGUGUUUACAAAGAAAAGUCAGGCAUUCCCAAACUGCCCCCGUUCCUUGCUAGCAACUCCUUGCUCCCUGGAUUAUGAGCAUGACAUCUUCAGCAAUAAUAAAAUACCCCAGCAAAAAAGUUACCAUGCAAGUGUUUUUUCCCUUUAUACUAGAAGAAAAGGUGCAUGUUGGAAUUGCCUUGACAGUUUGCCACCUCCCCAAUGUCUAAGGGAUAAAUCAUCUUGUGCGGCCUCAAAACAGUGUCUCCCCCUCCUCAUGCUCCCCCAAGAAGACUGGUGUUUACAACCUCUUAGGUGUUACAAAUAUCUAACAUGGGUAUUGGAACAAGUGUUGGAUUUGAUGCUUCACCCACAAUGAACGCUUUGCUGGCUCCUCACGCUUUAAUUAUCUCUUACCAGUGGCCCCUCCUGCACCACCUGCUCACUUUUGCAUUAGCACUGCACUCCACUGUGUCCUGUGAUGCUGAAUUUGAUGCAGGAAGCCUUGUAUGCUUAUGAGCUUUGCAAUGAAAGGACGUGAAUAAGGGUUGGGAUGCUUUCCACAUGCUGAUCCCGAUUAAUGUAUUUUAUGAAUCAGGACUUAGUCCUAUUGCUAAUGUUUGUCUCCAUAACCUUUGCUAUGUCAAUGGUGCCUGUGCUGGAGUCCAAGCACUGGCAGCUGGUGUCUCUGGCCAAUUCCCAGCCUAUAAUUGAACUUUCCUGUCAGUCAUUUGGAAGAAAGGAAGAAACAUGUUUCUAGCUGUUUGUGGUAUCAAACAGAAAAGGCUCCAGGCUACGAGGUUGUGUAAGGCUUUAAUAUACUGGUGACACAAGGGAAAGUUCAGGUAAGUCAAAUAAUGAUAUAAAGUUAAUACACCUUCACUUCUACUGCACUGAACUACAGUAACAUAAGGCCAGUUAAAUCCUGAAUGAAAAUCUCAGCACAAGAGUUUAAUGCCUUCUAGGUUUUGUAUGCUAACAUCUCCCUCUGAACACAGGCCAGUCCUGGAGAUAUUUUACCCUAUUCCCAGUCUUGACAAUGGUAGAAAACUAUUGCAGAGCUAAAAGGCAGUGUGUCUGGGAACAGGGGAUCACCCUGGAAGUGAAGAACUCUGCUCUGCUUUCUCGUACUGACUUACUGCAUGGCUUUUUGUAUAGCAUUUGUGAGGCUCAAUAUUUAUAUUUGCAUAUCAGGAUUACUGGUAUCUUCCCUGCCAGUGCAAAGGGCUUUAAGAAAUACAUGGAGAUAUUUCUUCUCUUGUGCAGUGUUUCACUAGUAUGGGCUAUACAAGGAGCUGUUAUAGAUAAGCACAUUCAGGUACACAUCUGGAGGACUCAACUUUGGAUGACACAGUUACUUUAGUUUUAAGAGUCAAGGAGUGAAAGAAUUCAGGUCAUCUCAUAUCCAGCACCACCUGAUACUGGCUCCCUAGGCUGAUAAGGCAAAGAAAAAAAAGUGGACAUGUAGUUAAGUGCCUACAAUGUUUUUAGUUAGAACUCUGUAAACCGGAAUCGUAUGUCCCCAGGGCACAACUCUGUCAGGUGUUUGUCAGUCAUUAUACUUAUUUUAGCUGGAAACAUUGUCAUUUGGAACCUUUUCAUAAUUUUAAGGGCUUAGUAAGCAGGUAUUUAUUUCCAUGUAGCCAGUGGUACAUAAAGAAAUUCCACUGACUCAGAUGGGACUGACUUAUUAGGGAAUGGCUCCUGAAGAACUGGAGUAUAUCUGAACUCAAGAUCUCAUUCCUCUUUCUCACACUGUUAAUAAAUGUGCAGCUUAGCAGCAAGACCGUGGAUGAAUGCAUGUUCUUUCUUGUUGAGAACUCCUAACUAUGUCCUCUCUUUAGUACAAAAGCUGCAGAGACAAGACUCCCUGGACAGUAAGAAGCCAGGACCACUUCACUUUUAUUCACUCUCUGGGUUGCAAACAAGAGAAACCAGAGCGAGUCCCUGCCUGCUGAAAUUCCAGGGACUUGCACUGAAUCGCAGCAAGUCCCAGAGGCAUUUUGAAUCUUUUGUUGUAUAUAUCAGCCCUGCAUGGCUCAGAGACAGUUGUACUUUAAGUUACUUAUUGUUAAUAAUAAAAGAAUA